RNAcentral lists this ribosomal RNA (371 nucleotides) under uncultured bacterium. RNAcentral's name for it is "bacterial SSU rRNA". It matches the Rfam family "Bacterial small subunit ribosomal RNA", at positions 527 to 896 of the family's 1533-position model. The record is from RNAcentral.
GUAGGGGGCAAGCGUUGUCCGGAAUUAUUGGGCGUAAAGGGCGCGUAGGCGGAUAGUUAAGUCCGGUGUGAAAGAUCAGGGCUCAACCCUGAGAGUGCAUCGGAAACUGGUUAUCUUGAGGACAGGAGAGGAAAGUGGAAUUCCUAGUGUAGCGGUGAAAUGCGUAGAUAUUAGGAGGAACACCAGUGGCGAAGGCGACUUUCUGGACUGUAACUGACGCUGAGGCGCGAAAGCGUGGGGAGCAAACAGGAUUAGAUACCCUGGUAGUCCACGCUGUAAACGAUGAGUGCUAGGUGUAGAGGGUAUCGACCCCUUCUGUGCCGCAGUUAACACAAUAAGCACUCCGCCUGGGGAGUACGGCCGCAAGGUUG